RNAcentral lists this transfer RNA (77 nucleotides) under Semiria sp. Ferreira & Carvalho 411. Its description in RNAcentral is "partial tRNA-Leu". Lineage: Eukaryota; Viridiplantae; Streptophyta; Magnoliopsida; Asterales; Asteraceae. The record is from RNAcentral.
AUUCGAAAUCGGUAGACGCUACGGACUUAAUUGGAUUGAGCCUUGGUAUGAUCCGUCGAUUACAUAAAACAUGAGGG